Molecule: long non-coding RNA, 213 nt
Filed under: Mytilus galloprovincialis (Mediterranean mussel)
Lineage: Eukaryota; Metazoa; Mollusca; Bivalvia; Mytilida; Mytilidae
Source: RNAcentral
GCGGGGGUGACGCCUCCUGAAGUUUAAGAGUUAUCGAGAAUGACCCAUUCCAUUCCUGUCAUUGAAAACUCAUCAAUAACAACAUUCUUUAGAUUCAAAAUUGUUUCUUUUUUUAAGUUUUAUCUAUUCAUUGUGUUUAUUUAGAAUUUAAUAACGGUCAUUGGCUUUAGAGUAAAACGUCCAUACCAGUUACUUUCAAAUAUGAUUAAAGCC